GCGGGGCCUGCGAGGCGUGGCCCCAGGACCUGUUCCGGAAGGCGUGGCAGGGAAGACGGGCACGGGGAGGCGGGGCCGAGGCAUCUUGCUGUGGCGGUGUGGCCCCGGAGGCGUGACCCGAGGGGCGUAGCCGGGGCGGAGCGGCCGGAGAGGCGGGGCUAGGGGAGCCGGGGUCAGAAUAGUGGGGGCCAGAGGAGCAGGUAGAGCCGGGUGCUGGAGGAGAAGGGGCUUUUCCUGCGGGGCCUGGGGAGCCGGGGUCCCUGCCAGGGGAACCAGGGGACCGGGGCUCUCACCGGGUUGGUGAGGCCUGGGACUCAGACUUUGUUUCCUGGACAAAUCAACUCGAGCAUUUUGUCUUCCUUUUUUUAAGACGGUGUUUCCUGCGCAGUUCAGGAGCUGGGCUUGAACGCACUUUGUAGCUCCAAUUCGAAGGGAUCCGCGGGCCUAGGGCUCCGCAGAGCUGGGAUCACAGGCAUGUGCCACUGUGCCCAGCAGGGCUUUUGUCUUGUCAGACAAGUCCGGAUUUUUUUUUCCCUAAUUUUCCACCCUUCCCUUUUCUGAUAAUAGACACUGGCUGCAAUGGUUACAAAUUUAUCCUGUGUGGCCCCGAGGGAAGUGAUCACCUGUGGAGAUCAGAAGAUGGUGUGUGGUUCUAUUCAGAGUGUCAGGUCCCGAGAACGAGGUACCCAUGGAUGAAUAUAAAAGUAAGA
This 710-nucleotide long non-coding RNA is filed under the name Chinchilla lanigera (long-tailed chinchilla). RNAcentral's name for it is "lncRNA (ENSCLAG00000022874.1)". The record is from RNAcentral. Lineage: Eukaryota; Metazoa; Chordata; Mammalia; Rodentia; Chinchillidae.